RNAcentral lists this unclassified non-coding RNA (240 nucleotides) under soil metagenome. RNAcentral's name for it is "partial contains 5.8S ribosomal RNA, internal transcribed spacer 2, and large subunit ribosomal RNA". The record is from RNAcentral.
AACCAUAGAAACCUGCGGAGUACCUGCGGAGGGAUCAUUAUAGUAUAUGGAAUCUCCAUUCUAUAAACCCACUCUGCGUAUCUUGUAACUGUUGCUUCCAUGGGACCUGGUUCCGCCACACCGGCUUCACGGCUGGUGAGCGCCCAUGGAAGGAGAAACAAAACUCUUCUUUGAAAUGUAGUCAGUCUGAACAAGUUUUUAUAAACGUUAAAACUUUUAACAAUGGAUCUCAGAUCGGAA